RNAcentral lists this ribosomal RNA (253 nucleotides) under uncultured bacterium. Its description in RNAcentral is "partial 16S ribosomal RNA". It matches the Rfam family "Bacterial small subunit ribosomal RNA", at positions 524 to 776 of the family's 1533-position model. The record is from RNAcentral.
UACGAAGGGUGCAAGCGUUACUCGGAAUUACUGGGCGUAAAGCGUGCGUAGGUGGUGAGUUAAGUCUGUCGUGAAAGCCCCGGGCUCAACCUGGGAAUGGCGAUGGAUACUGGCUCGCUAGAGUGCGGUAGAGGAGAGUGGAAUUCCCGGUGUAGCAGUGAAAUGCGUAGAGAUUGCCAGGAACACCAAUGGCGAAGGCAGCUUGCUGGGCCACUCCUGACACUGAUGUACGAAAGCGUGGGGAGCGAACAGG